This 332-nucleotide long non-coding RNA is filed under the name Homo sapiens (human). RNAcentral's name for it is "non-protein coding lnc-MPLKIP-2:1". The record is from RNAcentral. Lineage: Eukaryota; Metazoa; Chordata; Mammalia; Primates; Hominidae.
AGUAUCAUCUCAGAGCUAUUCACAAUGAAAGGUGAUCUCUGCGGCUCAAAUGUGUUGAGGUCCCCAUGCCUGGGCUAUGGGUGCUGAGUGGGAUUUACUUGUCCAUCCAUUUUCUAUAUUCCAGCACUGGGAAACUAGGGUUUAUCCAUCUUGAUAAGAUGUCAUUUAAAUUCCGCUUGGCAAGAACCACAAAUGGAAGAAAGGCCAUGAAACCACAGGACAGUACUUGUUCUCAAGGGAAUCUUCAGCUUAGGUGACUCUUUCUGGAUGUCAGGAAGUCCAAGGUUGAGAGGGCUGCAUCUGGUAGGGAUCUUCUUGCUGUGUAGAGGAAG